GAAAAAUUAGUUUAAAUAAAACAUUACUUUGUCAAAGUAAAAUUGUAAAUUUACAUUUUUCU
RNAcentral lists this transfer RNA (62 nucleotides) under Artemisia annua (sweet wormwood). RNAcentral also lists the same sequence under 1 other name. The record is from Rfam by way of RNAcentral. Lineage: Eukaryota; Viridiplantae; Streptophyta; Magnoliopsida; Asterales; Asteraceae.